UGGGGAAUAUUGCACAAUGGGCGAAAGCCUGAUGCAGCAACGCCGCGUGAAGGAAGAAGGUCUUCGGAUCGUAAACUUCUGUCCUAGGGGAAGAAGAACUGACGGUACCCUUGGAGGAAGCCCCGGCUAACUACGUGCCAGCAGCCGCGGUAAUACGUAGGGGGCAAGCGUUAUCCGGAAUUAUUGGGCGUAAAGAGUGCGUAGGUGGUUCUUUAAGCGCAGGGUUUAAGGCAAUGGCUCAACCAUUGUUCGCCCUGCGAACUGGAGGACUUGAGUGCAGGAGAGGAAAGCGGAAUUCCUAGUGUAG
This 307-nucleotide ribosomal RNA is filed under the name uncultured bacterium. RNAcentral's name for it is "bacterial SSU rRNA". It matches the Rfam family "Bacterial small subunit ribosomal RNA", at positions 355 to 678 of the family's 1533-position model. The record is from RNAcentral.